Molecule: long non-coding RNA, 1289 nt
Organism: Gadus morhua (Atlantic cod)
Lineage: Eukaryota; Metazoa; Chordata; Actinopteri; Gadiformes; Gadidae
Exons: 3
Source: RefSeq, a predicted model, not a curated record
GAUAACCACAAUGUGAAAAGCUUCAUCACAAGUACAAAUGUUGCAUUUUAUCUUACUUAAUUAAAUGUAAAGGUGAAUAUUGAGCUAUUAAAAGCAAAUUUUAAAAGCAAUAUUGAGCUAUAAAAAGCAAUGUCUUUAGAGGUCCAAAGUACUUCCAAUAUGAAAGUCACAGCCAAAAUCUGGGUCAGUUGUUUUAAUUUUAAUUCUCAUACAGGUGCACUGGAUGCUGCUGCAGCAUGCAUACAGCAAUUGGAGCAAUUGGUGCACUGGAUGCUGCUGCAGCAUGCAUACAGCAGUUGGAAGAAACAGUCAAGGAGCUGACGAGAGCUGUCGCAGCUGAAAGUGGUUCAAGUGCCUUUUCACAGAUUUUCUGUCUCAGACAAGAACAUCCUUUUUAGGCCUUUAAGGCCCUGUCUCCCAUGUUGUUAUACAUGGGCCAACUACCGUUACCUGCUCCUUGCCUCCCUCCCCAUCUGGAUGAGUAAACAGAAAGUCAAGAACACCAUGCCAAGCAAAUUUGUGCAGUACAGUCCAGAUGUUUCGGGUAAUCAUCGACUGCACCGAGGUGCGAUGCCAGAAUCCAUCAUCCCUCACCCGGAGUUUUUCUCAUCUUACAAGAACACAAAACCUUUAAGGCCUUGAUUGGGAUUGCCCCUUGUAGUACUGUGACUUUUGUGUCUUUUGUGUCUCCUCACCGGCUCCAUCUCCGACCGAGAGCUGACUGAACGAAGUGGACUGCUGGAUUUACUGGAGCCAGGAGAUGGCUGCAUGGCAGACAAGGGUUUCACCAUCGAGAAGCCACUAGCUAGCUGAUCGUGGAGCAACGCUGAUUAUACCACCCUUCAAGAUGACAGGAAUACCGCAUCUGGGAACGCACUGUCCUCUCACCUUGUCUGGGACAGUCAACCAGCUGUGGACCGUCUGCUGUGUGAUGACCAACUUCCAGGGACCACUUGAUUUAAAAGACUACAUCCCCGUUGAAUAGUGUUUCUACUCAAACAUGUACCUAUAAAUAUUAAAUAUAAUAUAUAAAUAUUAAAACGAGAGACACUGAACAUUUGUCCCUUCAUUUUUGGUCCCUUCAUUUUUUCCGGAGCUGUAAUUCUGUAUACUGAAAACAUUGUAUGUAUUGAAUGACAUGUGUGUAAUUGAUUGAGAAGUCUUUCAUCUAUAAUCUAUUUUAAAGUCCAGUCAGUCCAUCCUGAAAGUAUUCAAAAUAAUGUUAAUAUGUAAUGUAGAAAAUGAUGUACUCAGAAAAAGGGAAUGAAUUAAAUCCUUUUAUUCUUUCA